RNAcentral lists this ribosomal RNA (410 nucleotides) under uncultured bacterium. Its description in RNAcentral is "bacterial SSU rRNA". It matches the Rfam family "Bacterial small subunit ribosomal RNA", at positions 370 to 772 of the family's 1533-position model. The record is from RNAcentral.
AGUGGGCGCAAGCCUGAUCCAGCAAUGCCGCGUGGGUGAAGACGGCCUGCGGGUUGUAAAGCCCUUUAGGUGGGGAAGAACGGUGUCGGGUGAAUAGCCAGGCAUUAUGACAUUACCCACGGAAUAAGCACCGGCUAACUCCGUGCCAGCAGCCGCGGUAAUACGGAGGGUGCGAGCGUUAAUCGGAAUGACUGGGCGUAAAGCGUGCGUAGGUGGUAGCGUUAGUCGGCCGUGAAAGCCCUGGGCUUAACCUGGGAAUGGCGGUUGAAACGGCGCAACUUGAGUGGGUUAGAGGACUGUGGAACUCCUGGUGUAGCGGUGAAAUGCGUAGAGAUCAGGAAGAACACCGAUGGCGAAGGCAGCGGUCUGGGGCCACACUGACACUGAGGCACGAAAGCGUGGGGAGCAAA